RNAcentral lists this long non-coding RNA (907 nucleotides) under Malus domestica (apple). RNAcentral describes it as "long non-coding RNA (MDOM_LNC000795)". The record is from RNAcentral. Lineage: Eukaryota; Viridiplantae; Streptophyta; Magnoliopsida; Rosales; Rosaceae.
CUGCUGCUACAAGGGCCUUUGUUAGUUCAGCUCAAAACCUCUCGGGUGGUAAUACAAAUGAUGUUCUGCCGUCGCCGAAAACCCUUACUUUGCCGCCGGAUUUGGUUAUUUUAAGUCAACGGUCGCGUUCCAAGGGCAGGAGGCUGGCUUUUAUGGAGUGAAUGAUUCCGGGAUUAGUGAUGCCGAAAGGAGGGCCACGACUCUAUCUUCUUGUCCAGUUCACGCCAUUCGGAGUUGCGAGGAGUUUGAAGGAGAGUACUUGGAACAUAUAAGAACAACUCCGGGAAACUUGUGAUUCCUACUGGUUUGCUUCCUCCUGAGAUACCUGCAAAAGGGGUAAAAAGGGAAAUUUCCACUGCUGAUGGGAUCUUUGAAUGGCUCGAUAAGCAAAAAACCAGGUCAGUUGUGUUUGUAGGGUUUGCGAGUGAGUGUAAGUUGAGUAAUGAGCAAAAAUUCAAAAGGGCUCAGAUAAUUAAGGAACACGGUGCUAAGAUAUGACCACUCAAUAGUCUCGAAAAUUAUAUUUUGGAAUGCUACAUUUCGGUACAGAGAAGAUUUUUUCAUGAAAAUAUGAGUCACACUAGUUUGUCAAAGGUUUUGUUGAGUUGAGAAGAGCUCUGAAACUAGGAUCCAUUGUGAGGUAUCCAUUGCUAUGUGGUACAUGUAGAAACGUUGACACUGACUUUUUCGUUAACACAAGUCUCAACGUUAAACCUUUCGUUUUUACUCUUUGAUCCAAGGUUAAACCUCUUAUGUGUUGUAAAAAAUUAUUUGGGGAUCAUCAUUCAUUGUAUGGGGGUGAGAUUGGAAUGUUGCGUAAAUCGGGUUUCACAAAUCUAACCACACAUUGUCAUGCAAUUAUGAUUGGUUAAGUCUUUUUAUAGAAAAGAGAAUCAAAACAAUUGCA